Molecule: long non-coding RNA, 713 nt
Filed under: Nicotiana benthamiana
Lineage: Eukaryota; Viridiplantae; Streptophyta; Magnoliopsida; Solanales; Solanaceae
Description: long non-coding RNA (NBEN_LNC029617)
Source: RNAcentral
ACAUUAAACUACAAAAAACUACGAUUAACUACAAAUUUAAUUCAACAGUAUAAUUUGCCAAUCAAAUUUUAGUCAACUGUGACAGUUCCAAAUAAACAUUAUAUUAAACUACAUUAAACUACAAAAAAACUAUAAUUAACGUAAAAUUACUCUCCCCAAACCCCACUUUGUGGGACUAUACUGAGUAGUUGUUGUUGUUAUUUUUAUUGUUCAAGCAGUAAGCAGUGUGUACAAUUUAGUUGAACUCGCAAACAUUAACCUAGAUCCAUCUUUGUGUAUAAUCCUUUCCAAUGGGAAACCUGCAGUCAAUGGCAGAUAUAUGAUCAAAUGCUUCUGGCAAAUAAUUUGGAAUCUGUAUACUACUAAAACUACAAUUAACGUAAAAUUACUCUCCCCAAACCCCAUUUUGUGGGACUAUACUGAGUAGUAGUUGUUGUUGUUUUUAUUGACUCAAGCAGUAAGCAGUGUGUACAAUUUAGUUGAACUCGCAAACAUUAACCUAGAUCCAUCUUUGUGUAUAAUCCUUUCCAAUGGGAAACCUGCAGUCAAUGGCAGAUAUAUGAUCAAAUGCUUCUGGCAAAUAAUUUGGAAUCUGUAUACUACUAGUACAUUUUUAAAUCGCAUAAGACAUUUUAUUUUGAAAAAACUGCCGCCCACAAUCUUAUAUCGGUUGGCACGUGUAAACGGUCAUUUAUGAAGAAUGAUUGUGUUAA